GGUCCAUUUGCUUAGCCUGGUUAAAGCGCAGGUCUUAUAAAUGACCCUUAGACAAACACAACACCAAAUUGUCUAAGUUUUACAGUAAAAACCUGAGAUCCGGGGUUCAAAAUGAGCCUCCAGUAUUGAAAGUUCAUGAAACUCCCCGAUGGACCA
This 156-nucleotide transfer RNA is filed under the name Promethearchaeota archaeon. RNAcentral describes it as "Candidatus Lokiarchaeota archaeon (microbial mat metagenome) tRNA-Ile". Lineage: Archaea; Promethearchaeati; Promethearchaeota. The record is from RNAcentral.